Molecule: ribosomal RNA, 377 nt
Filed under: uncultured eukaryote
Lineage: Eukaryota
Description: partial 18S ribosomal RNA
Rfam family: Eukaryotic small subunit ribosomal RNA
Source: RNAcentral
CAAUAGCGUAUAUUUAAGUUGUUGCAGUUAAAAAGCUCGUAGUUGGAUUUCGGGUGGGACGCAGCGGUCUCGCAUUGCGUUUGUACUGCUGCAGCCCUCCUUCUUGCCGGGGGCGGCCUCUCGGACUUCACUGUCUGGGGGUCAGAAUCGGCGAUGUUACUUUGAGUAAAUUAGAGUGUUCAAAGCAAGCUUACGCUCCGAAUAUAAUAGCAUGGGAUAACACGACAGGACUCUGGCCUAUCGUGUUGGUCUAUAGGACCAGAGUAAUGAUUAAGAGGGACAGUCGGGGGCAUUCGUAUUCCGUUGUCAGAGGUGAAAUUCUUGGAUUUACGGAAGACGAACAUCUGCGAAAGCAUUUGCCAAGGAUGUUUNCAUUG